AGAGUUUGAUCCUGGCUCAGGAUGAACGCUGGCGGCGUGCUUAACACAUGCAAGUCGAACGGUGAACACGGAGCUUGCUCUGUGGGAUCAGUGGCGAACGGGUGAGUAACACGUGAGCAACCUGCCCCUGACUCUGGGAUAAGCGCUGGAAACGGCGUCUAAUACUGGAUAUGUGACGUGACCGCAUGGUCUGCGUCUGGAAAGAAUUUCGGUUGGGGAUGGGCUCGCGGCCUAUCAGCUUGUUGGUGAGGUAAUGGCUCACCAAGGCGUCGACGGGUAGCCGGCCUGAGAGGGUGACCGGCCACACUGGGACUGAGACACGGCCCAGACUCCUACGGGAGGCAGCAGUGGGGAAUAUUGCACAAUGGGCGCAAGCCUGAUGCAGCAACGCCGCGUGAGGGACGACGGCCUUCGGGUUGUAAACCUCUUUUAGCAGGGAAGAAGCGAAAGUGACGGACC
This 459-nucleotide ribosomal RNA is filed under the name Microbacterium sp. iMCIII8. RNAcentral describes it as "bacterial SSU rRNA". It matches the Rfam family "Bacterial small subunit ribosomal RNA", at positions 8 to 478 of the family's 1533-position model. Lineage: Bacteria; Bacillati; Actinomycetota; Actinomycetes; Micrococcales; Microbacteriaceae. The record is from RNAcentral.